RNAcentral lists this ribosomal RNA (480 nucleotides) under Blastocystis sp. Its description in RNAcentral is "SSU rRNA". It matches the Rfam family "Eukaryotic small subunit ribosomal RNA", at positions 460 to 953 of the family's 1831-position model. The record is from RNAcentral. Lineage: Eukaryota; Bigyra; Opalinata; Blastocystidae.
GGAGGUAGUGACAAUAAAUCACAAUGCGGGACUAUACGUCUUGCAAUUGGAUUGAGAACAAUGUACAACUCUUAUCGAUAAGCCAUUGGAGGGCAAGUCUGGUGCCAGCAGCCGCGGUAAUUCCAGCUCCAAUAGCGUAUAUUAACGUUGUUGCAGUUAAAAAGCUCGUAGUUGAAGUGUGGGUGAUCGCUGUUGUGAGACUUCGGUCUCUCGACAGUAAGUCACCCCCUUCCAGUAUCCAGUAGUGGGUAUUCAGUUACUUACUAUUGUGUGUUGGUCGUUUACUGUGAGAAAAUUAGAGUGUUCAAAGCAGGCGUUUGCUUGAAUAGAUUAGCAUGGAAUAAUAAUUGAAGGCUUUCGUGUUCGAUUUGAUUGGUUUGUUCAUGGAAGCAAGGUUAAAAGGAACAGUUGGGGGUAUUCAUAUUCACUAGUUAGAGGUGAAAUUCUCGGAUUUAUGGAAGAUGAACAAGUGCGAAAGCA